This 468-nucleotide ribosomal RNA is filed under the name uncultured bacterium. RNAcentral's name for it is "partial 16S ribosomal RNA". It matches the Rfam family "Bacterial small subunit ribosomal RNA", at positions 28 to 507 of the family's 1533-position model. The record is from RNAcentral.
GACGAACGCUGGCGGCGUGCUUAACACAUGCAAGUCGAACGGAAAGGCCCUGCUUUUGUGGGGUGCUCGAGUGGCGAACGGGUGAGUAACACGUGAGUAACCUGCCCUUGACUGUGGGAUAACUUCAGGAAACUGGGGCUAAUACCGGAUAUGAGCUCCUGCUGCAUGGUGGUGGUUGGUAAGUUUCGGCGGUUGGGGAUGGACUCGCGGCUUAUCAGCUUGUUGGUGUGGUAGUGGCUUACCAAGGCUUUGACGGGUAGGCGGCCUGAGAGGGUGACCGGCCACAUUGGGACUGAGAUACGGCCCAGACUCCUACGGGAGGCAGCAGUGGGGAAUAUUGCACAAUGGGCGGAAGUCUGAUGCAGCGACGCCGCGUGCGGGAUGACGGCCUUCGGGUUGUAAACCGCUUUCGCAUGUGACGAAGCGUGAGUGACGGUAAUGAGUAAAGAAGCACCGGCUAACUACGUG